Molecule: ribosomal RNA, 554 nt
Filed under: Bifidobacterium adolescentis
Lineage: Bacteria; Bacillati; Actinomycetota; Actinomycetes; Bifidobacteriales; Bifidobacteriaceae
Description: partial 16S ribosomal RNA
Rfam family: Bacterial small subunit ribosomal RNA
Source: RNAcentral
UUCUCCUGGAAACGGGUGGUAAUGCCGGAUGCUCCAGUUGACCGCAUGGUCCUCUGGGAAAGCUUUUGCGGUAUGGGAUGGGGUCGCGUCCUAUCAGCUUGAUGGCGGGGUAACGGCCCACCAUGGCUUCGACGGGUAGCCGGCCUGAGAGGGCGACCGGCCACAUUGGGACUGAGAUACGGCCCAGACUCCUACGGGAGGCAGCAGUGGGGAAUAUUGCACAAUGGGCGCAAGCCUGAUGCAGCGACGCCGCGUGCGGGAUGACGGCCUUCGGGUUGUAAACCGCUUUUGACUGGGAGCAAGCCCUUCGGGGUGAGUGUACCUUUCGAAUAAGCACCGGCUAACUACGUGCCAGCAGCCGCGGUAAUACGUAGGGUGCAAGCGUUAUCCGGAAUUAUUGGGCGUAAAGGGCUCGUAGGCGGUUCGUCGCGUCCGGUGUGAAAGUCCAUCGCUUAACGGUGGAUCCGCGCCGGGUACGGGCGGGCUUGAGUGCGGUAGGGGAGACUGGAAUUCCCGGUGUAACGGUGGAAUGUGUAGAUAUCGGGAAGAACACC